GUGACACUGCUUGAUGCUAAUCUGUCUAAUUUAUAGCCCUAUUGUGCAUCCUCUCUGGAAGACAUACUGUAGAGUUCAGUUUAAUGCUCUCACAGUUCACCUUCCCAAAAGGUAAAUACAUGUUUCAUGUUUUAGAUCAAUUAACAGGCUAAUAGCUAAGGGGAAGAUACAGAAGAAAGAAGGCAUCCCAGAGUAUCUUUUUCCCCUCCGAGUUUAAUGAUUUGCCUGUAGCCUGGACAUUUGGCAUGCGUGGAAUGUUUGUCUCCACAUCCAGACCCAUUGUGUCGGAGGAAGAGAAAACUAGAGGAAAAGAUCUACGUGCCUUUCUCAGGAUGGGUGUUUGUCCAUUUUGAAGCUGAUCAAUGAAUGAAAGAAGAUGAUUGUUUCAAAGCAUCCCGAAGGUCCUGCGUAAACCCAAAGCAGCAGCUGGUUUCACUUUACCUGCUUUCUCGAUGCACAGAACCCCACCGUAAUAGGUCCGUUCCUGUGGUUUUAGUGGUGGAGUAGAGGGAUCGCAUAGGGCUCUUCUCACAGACUGACAUGGCGACUGGAACAGCUAAACCUGGAGCUGGAAUCUACACUGAAGGGGUUUUGGAGAUGCCAAGCUGUUCUCCUAAUGAGAUGCAUACCAGCACUGAAGCCUGUGAGACAGAUUGGGCCUCCUGCUAGUCCGUUCCACCUCGGUCAGAGACCUUCCACUGCCCUGCAGGCAAUGCAGCCACAGCUUCACUCUCUUCCCAUCAUGCUCCACUGCUGCUUACCUUGUGCUCCGCCUACAUCACUCAUGCACAUCCUCACAGGUCUGUUAACCCCAUACAGACUUAGGCGAGACGUUCUGGAGGAAUUUAUUGUGGAUUUUGGGAAUCAAGAACUGGUUCUUAUUCAAAACUGGUUCCAUUCAUGAUGUUGAUGUGAUUCACCUUUUAAUGCAUGAAUGUUUCGUCAAUCUUUAUUACAUAUUCGGGUCUUUAGCUACCCGAAUCUAUAUCUAACAUGCAUAGAUCUCCACCUGUCGUGAAUCGCAAUAGUAUAAAACUCUCCUCAUAUUAGAAUUAAAAAUAAAAUAAAGCAUAUUUUGUUACCUUUUGAAGCUUGGAAGUGUUCAGUUUGAGAAGGUGUGUUAUACCAUCACUGCUGUCCUCGUCAGAACUCAUUUCCCCCAGAACAUUAAGCAUCUGGCUCAUGUCCGUGAUCUCAACCAUAUUCUCAAAACAUCUUCAAUUAUUUUGAUCGCUGACAGCUUCUUCAUCAGAUCCACAAACAAUAUAUUUAUAUUAAAUAUCACAUAUAUUUUAGUACUUGCUCUGCAGUAAAUCGCUGACAAUGAGCAUUUUCAAGUUAUGCUGAUGAUACGUCCUAUUCUUUUGUUUCCUGC
Pimephales promelas (fathead minnow) is the source of this 1375-nucleotide long non-coding RNA. RefSeq lists it as uncharacterized. The record is from RefSeq and is a predicted model, not a curated record. Lineage: Eukaryota; Metazoa; Chordata; Actinopteri; Cypriniformes; Leuciscidae.